This 253-nucleotide ribosomal RNA is filed under the name uncultured bacterium. Its description in RNAcentral is "partial 16S ribosomal RNA". It matches the Rfam family "Bacterial small subunit ribosomal RNA", at positions 524 to 776 of the family's 1533-position model. The record is from RNAcentral.
UACGUAGGCAGCAAGCGUUGUUCGGAGUUACUGGGCGUAAAGCGUGCGUAGGUGGUGAGUUAAGUCUGAUGUGAAAUCCCCGGGCUCAACCUGGGAAUGGCAUUGGAUACUGGCUCGCUGGAGUGCGGUAGAGGGUGGUGGAAUUCCCGGUGUAGCAGUGAAAUGCGUAGAGAUCGGGAGGAACAUCUGUGGCGAAGGCGGCCACCUGGACCAGCACUGACACUGAGGCACGAAAGCGUGGGGAGCAAACAGG